GAGUGGAUGACAGAGCUUCAUCUCAUUCCUGAAUUAUGUCUUGUUCAUCUAGAUGCUUUAUGACUACUUUUUUUUUCAGUUCUGCCUUGUUAGUCCAAAGUCCGAUCGGGUUGUAAAGCAAUAGCUAUUCCCAGCUCCUGAAACGCACGCAUCCUUACAACUAUCCUGAUUAUUCACAGCAGACCACUUCCCUUCAUGUAAUUGUCGCAGAAGCUGAGUCAUUUGUUCUAUAGAACGUCCACGUUCUGCAUUCAACCAUUGGUUUCCUUGUUCAGUCAUUGGAGUUGGUCUUCUACCUACUGUAUUUCCUGUAUAUGGAGCCUCCCACAAGGCAGAGUUUCCAGGAGUAGCACAAGACCUCUGAGAAGGAGCAGUUGAAUUGGGACAAGUAAAAUGCAAGUGGAAGAAACUGGGGCAGCUGUGAAAUCAGGAGAGUACAAAAUGAGUUCAAAUGAGUUGUUUCAUUUGAAAUAUACGUCAUUCAAAGGAAAUCUCUUUGCUAUCAUUCAUACUAUGUGGUGAACCCAAUUAACUUAGAUGAGUCAAAAUAGCACCUUUGGUGUAUGAAGCACAAUUGGAGAAAUCAUUAGAGCACAGAGAUUUAUACUGGGAUCAAAACCAGAGCAAAUGGAUUCUUGGAACAGCAGCAGAUAAAACCUCUGAAGAUUCAGACUCAAUUCCCAGGAUCCCACUUGCACUUCCUUAAACUCCCGUCCAGGAACAUGGAGAACCGUACUCUUUGAUCUUGACAGUUGGAAAUGUGCUCAGAGAUACUUAAGCCUUACUAGUCUACUGACAUGCAUGUCAAAGAUUAGUGGACCUGUUACAAGGAAGAGUGUCUGCUUGUCUUCCACCUCUACUAAACUGUAAGCUACUUGAGGACAGGGGCUGUGCUUGCCCAUCAUCAUAUCUCUGGCAUCCAAUAGACAGGGCCUCAAACAACAACUGUUGAAUGAAUGAGUGGACGGCUCAUAGCUGAAGACUGGAGGACCAGAAGCGACAUUGUUCGGAAAAGCCUCAUGUGACAAUGAGAGUGAAAUGCUUUCUCUGGCUAGAAAACAUUCUUGCUUAUUUUUCUUUUAAAGAUGGACUUUUGCUGGCUGAAGACUUAGAUCCAAAGAGAAUAUUAAUCUGAAAGUAACAAAGUCAAAUUCUACGAUUUCAACAUGACUUCAAAAAUGUGAGAGAUUUUCAACAGCAUCAAGAGUUGAAGUUGUAAAUGUCUUGUUCAGAAAGCAGAAUUGGAGCCUGUUUCCAUGGGAUGGAAAGCAGCAGCCAAAGGCUUACUCAGUGUGGAUCAUUUUAAAUAUAGAGCGAUCUGUACAUCAAUUGUGUAGUGAUGUAGUCUUUUUCCUCCUCUCCCUCAACUCUUCCACUUAACAUUUUGCUUUACUAUUGUUUGGCCUCCUGUGUCAAAUAAAGCACCUUUUAUAUUUAGUACAAUAGGCCCAGUGUCAAGUUUGUCUAGUCCAAAGUGCUGAACAAACAUUAACCCAUCCGACUCCCCUUGACCCCAUAUUGCACACCCUUGUUUAAACACUACAGUUGUCCUAGAUAACCGCUCUAGGCAGUAGCUAGGAAAAUUAUAGAAAGCACAUGAGAGUUUAAAUAUCUGUUAGGGUGUGUUGCAUACUGAUGUUUCCCCUGAUGUUAAAGGUCUUAAAUCCUGAUUGUUUACAGUUCAAAAGUCUUCCGGAGGGAUGAUUAAGGGCAAAACAUAAGAAGUAGGAAAUGGCUGAAUGCCUUUUAGGAGGUGAGGGCUUUUGAUGAUGGACUAUGUAAAAUAUUUCAAAAUAGUGAUAUCCAAAGAUUUUAUUACUAAAGUAGAAUUAAGCAACAAAUUCUUGAGACUCUCCAUAAAUCAGAAAUUACCACCCCCCCCCCAACAAAAUAAAAAUAUCUGGCUGAGUUUUGGGGAGUGAAGAUAUUAAUUUAUCUAAAUGGCAUGUUGACUGUAGCUUGUUUUUGGGAGACUGUUUUUUUUUCCCUUUUCCUUCUGAGAUGUCUUAGCUCUUCCCUUGUUUCUGCCUCUGGAAUUUGUAAUACACUGUAAAAGGUCCAUUCCAAUUCUAUCACAAGGAAUGGAAUUUGAGGAGUUCCCAGUUAUUUCAGCUCUCUAAACUUUAAAAAAAUUUUUUCAUGAAAGGAAUAUGUAUUCUAUGAUUAGGAGAAUUUUUUGAAGAUUCAAAAAUUGUAAUUACAAUGAAACUUUAACAGUCCUCCACAAUUCUUGUCUGUAAUUUAAGUGCCACUUUUAGCAAGCCACUUCAGUUCUGUGGCUGUUUCCUUGUCUGUAAAAUGGAAUGUAUUUGAUGAGCUUCAGUGCUAUGCUUCUUUAUGUUGACAAUUUAUUCAGUAUGUCAGUUACUUUAAUACUGGCUUUAGAAAAAUUAUACCUGAAGGAAAUUGAAGUAGUUGUAGAGAUCCAAAGACCUUUAAUUUUUGUGUAUUAUCACUACUGUAAUUUAUAAUGUGUUAGCAAAGAUUAUGGCAAUACAUCAGACUAUUUUUGCUGUUUCUUUGCUGUGUAUAUGUGUGAGUGUUUCUAUGUAUCUUCUAUCCAGUGGGAAGCAGACGUUUUCAAUAUACCUAACGGCUUCAAAUGUAUCCUAAGAGUAUUUGCUGCUUAAAUAACAGUUUAAUGGGAAAUACUUUUCAAAAAUUGACUCAGAGUUGUGAUAUUUUAAAAAUAAAUCAAUAUUAUAAUUUUAGUUCUCUUUCCACCCAGUAGGUAGAAU
Long non-coding RNA from Canis lupus familiaris (dog), 2738 nucleotides. RefSeq lists it as uncharacterized. NCBI's taxonomy places the organism in Eukaryota, Metazoa, Chordata, Mammalia, Carnivora, Canidae. The transcript has 8 exons. The record is from RefSeq and is a predicted model, not a curated record.